GACGAACGCUGGCGGCGUGCUUAAUACAUGCAAGUCGAACGGAAAGGCCCUGCUUUUGCGGGGUGCUCGUGUGGCGAACGCGUGAGUAACACGUGUGUAACCUGUACUUGUCAUUGGGAUAACACUUGGAAACACGGGAUCAUAUAGGAGAGGAGCUAUUGAUGCACGUUGGGGGAUGGUAAGAUUCGGCGGUUGUGGAUGGAAUCGAGGGUUAUCAGCUUGUUUGUGGGGUAGUGGCUUACCAAGGUUUUGACGGGUAGCCGGCCUGAGAGGGUGACCGGCCACAAUGGUACUGAGGUAGGGCCCAGACGCCAACGUUAGGCAGCAGGGGGAAAUAUUGCGGAGUGGGCGGAAGCCAGAUGCAGCAGCGCCGCGUGCGGAAUGACGGCCUUCGGGUUGUAAACCGCUUUCUCCUGUGACGAAGCGUGAUUGACGGUAAUUAGUAAGAAAGCACCGGCUAACUACGUG
RNAcentral lists this ribosomal RNA (468 nucleotides) under uncultured bacterium. Its description in RNAcentral is "partial 16S ribosomal RNA". It matches the Rfam family "Bacterial small subunit ribosomal RNA", at positions 28 to 507 of the family's 1533-position model. The record is from RNAcentral.